GACCCCGUAGCUCAACUGGAUAGAGCACCGGCCUUCUAAGCCGGAUGUUGCAGGUUCAAGUCCUGCCGGGGUCGCCA
RNAcentral lists this transfer RNA (77 nucleotides) under Candidatus Latescibacterota bacterium. Its description in RNAcentral is "tRNA-Arg". It matches the Rfam family "tRNA". From Rfam's summary of the family: Transfer RNA (tRNA) molecules are approximately 80 nucleotides in length. Their secondary structure includes four short double-helical elements and three loops (D, anti-codon, and T loops). The record is from RNAcentral. Lineage: Bacteria; Pseudomonadati; Candidatus Latescibacterota. RNAcentral also lists the same sequence under 2 other names.